UAGAGACCUUAUGAGACUUGAAACAAGACAACCAGUCUAGCAACCAUUGAGAAAAAAAGGCACACUGGUCUUUUGAUCAAAUCUAAGGCAGAGAAAGGAAGCAUACCAGAUUCAUUGAGACCAAUAGCAGGGAUGGCGGCAGAGCUAUAGUAAAAGAAGCCGCGGGAAGCAAAGGCACCAAUAAAUAGCUACAUGGAUCGCAUAGAAGCUUUAAGAGAUAGGGGGCCAUCCACCGAAGAUGGAAGCGGGAAAGACGGGAGCACAAACGAGGUAGCUUAUGCUUUUUUUCAUCCUCACUAUUUGGUUUAUAGUCGAAUCUGGAG
Molecule: unclassified non-coding RNA, 323 nt
Filed under: Hevea brasiliensis (rubber tree)
Lineage: Eukaryota; Viridiplantae; Streptophyta; Magnoliopsida; Malpighiales; Euphorbiaceae
Source: RNAcentral